GUCAGCAGCCAUAUCACCCUGCAACUCACAACUGGCAACCCACUGAAGCUAGGCAGGUGUGAGCCUGGUCAGUACCUGGAUGGGAGACCUCCUGGGAAAAACUAGGUUGCUGCUGGAA
Lepisosteus oculatus (spotted gar) is the source of this 118-nucleotide ribosomal RNA. NCBI's taxonomy places the organism in Eukaryota, Metazoa, Chordata, Actinopteri, Semionotiformes, Lepisosteidae. The record is from Ensembl.